Molecule: long non-coding RNA, 491 nt
Organism: Exaiptasia diaphana
Lineage: Eukaryota; Metazoa; Cnidaria; Anthozoa; Actiniaria; Aiptasiidae
Exons: 2
Source: RefSeq, a predicted model, not a curated record
GUCUAGUACAUGGGGUUGGUCACGUGACUUUUUAUUUCACAAGGCUCGGUCGGAACUGGGAACUAGGUAACUCAUGUCAAUAUGGCGGACAAACAUGGCGGCCAUACGACAAGGGGAAUACUCUGACGAAGUCAAAGAAAUGCAGCUAAAAUAUUGUUUUCUUGUAUAAUUUUGUCUUGGUUGAGUGUACUUUUUAUUGCUAUGUUGGUUUUAUCCAUUUCUUUUGGCAAAUCAUCAAUGUCGUUACAAAUUACAACCGGUAUUUGAGUAUUUGAGACAAUGCCGAAAGAUUCUCUAUAGAUUUCAGAUAUUAUCACAAGUCUUGAACUCUGUUCUACAUUUGCUCCACCUUCACUGUUAGAUGAUGACUGCCAACCUGCUCAAACUGAAAAGACAUGGGCUUGAAAGGAAAUAGCCUUGUCUACAAAAUCCACAUUUUAAUCAUUUUUUAAGUGUACAGUGUCUAUUAUGUUUUAACAAAUACAAAUGCA